UUUAGGCCAUCCGUACUUGAUUGAAUCUGAGUUGUCCAUGCACGUGCAUCUGAGCCGUCCGUGCGCGUGCAUCUGGGCCGUCCGUGCGCGCGGGGACGCAUCUGAGCCGUCCGAUCGCGUGCAUGCGGAUCGCCCACAUGGCCCGUUCCCGGGUCAACGUGGCCUUGCCAUGCGGCAGGUCCUGGUUGGCCAGGGCUGCUGACUGGGCCGCUGACGUGGCUGCUGAUGUGGCGCUGACGGGGCACAAUUUUUCUAAUUUGCGUUUGG
RNAcentral lists this long non-coding RNA (267 nucleotides) under Carica papaya (papaya). RNAcentral's name for it is "long non-coding RNA (CPAP_LNC003352)". The record is from RNAcentral. Lineage: Eukaryota; Viridiplantae; Streptophyta; Magnoliopsida; Brassicales; Caricaceae.